Molecule: ribosomal RNA, 406 nt
Filed under: uncultured bacterium
Lineage: Bacteria
Description: partial 16S ribosomal RNA
Rfam family: Bacterial small subunit ribosomal RNA
Source: RNAcentral
AUUGAACGCUGGCGGCAGGCCUAACACAUGCAAGUCGAACGAGUGGCGGAUGAGUGUGUAAAGUAUGGGAAACUGCUCGACGGAGGGGGAGAAUUAUUGGAAACGGGAGUUAAUACCGCAUACCAUCGGAUGUGCCCAGAUGGGCUUAGCCGGUAGGGGGGGUAAUGGCUCACCUAGGCGACGAGCCCUAGCUGGUCUAAGAGGAUGACCAGCCACACUGGAACUGAGACACGGUCCAGACUCCUACGGGAGGCAGCAGUGGGGAAUAUUGCACAAUGGGCGCAAGCCUGAUGCAGCCAUGCCGCGUGUAUGAAGAAGGCCUUCGGGUUGUAAAGUACUUUCAGCGAGGAGGCGUUACUCGCAGAGGAAGCACCUGCUAACUCCGUGCCAGCAGCCGCGGUAAUUC